Molecule: ribosomal RNA, 497 nt
Filed under: uncultured bacterium
Lineage: Bacteria
Description: partial 16S ribosomal RNA
Rfam family: Bacterial small subunit ribosomal RNA
Source: RNAcentral
GAUGAACGCUGGCGGCGUGCCUAAUACAUGCAAGUCGAGCGAACGGACGAGAAGCUUGCUUCUCUGAUGUUAGCGGCGGACGGGUGAGUAACACGUGGAUAACCUACCUAUAAGACUGGGAUAACUUCGGGAAACCGGAGCUAAUACCGGAUAAUAUUUUGAACCGCAUGGUUCAAAAGUGAAAGACGGUCUUGCUGUCACUUAUAGAUGGAUCCGCGCUGCAUUAGCUAGUUGGUAAGGUAACGGCUUACCAAGGCAACGAUGCAUAGCCGACCUGAGAGGUGGUCGGCCAAACCUGGAAUGGAGACCGGUCCAAGCCCCUUGGGGGGGGAGGCGGAGGGAAUUCUUCGGAAGGGGGCAAAGCCCAGACGGGGCAGCCCCGGGGGAGUAAUGAGGGUUUUGGGAUGUAAAAACUUUUUUAUUGGGGAAAAAAAUAUUUGAAAGUACCGGUGCACUUCUGGAGGGUACUUAAUAAAAAGGCCAGGGCUAACAAGGGC